UUUCGGGUCCAAACAGGCACACUCAAACUCAAGCCGCGCGCGGCCCGGUCGGUGUUGGGCAUUCAUUUGUGUGCACCACCAUAGCUUUCUAAGAAAGCUCCCUUUCAGUACGAGAGAAGUACUGGCAACGAAUAUCUUCUCCCUUGCGCGUCUGUUUGACUCCUUGGUCCGUGUUUCAAGACGGGUGAAGAUACCCCAUUUUCGAUGUCAAUAUUGAGCAUCACUGGAAACGAAUCGCGCUCGCUGCCGCAUCAACGAAUCGAUACGACAGUGCACAACACGUUCUUCCAGCUCAUUUCACCAAUCCCCAGAGUCUGCACUUGUUUGCCUACCGGGUUUUGAGGUCCAGCAGGAUAAUGCUUCUAGGGUGGUUUUGACCAAUGAAAUGGAGGCACUUUCAUUGUCAUUGUCACGACUUCAGGUUCUAUGUCACUCUCUCUCCAAAGUGCUUUUCAAACUUUCGCUCACGCUACUUGUUCGCUAUCGGUCUUCCUA
RNAcentral lists this ribosomal RNA (495 nucleotides) under Kinetoplastida sp. LDR2000. RNAcentral describes it as "partial 24S ribosomal RNA". The record is from RNAcentral. Lineage: Eukaryota; Euglenozoa; Kinetoplastea.